This 483-nucleotide ribosomal RNA is filed under the name Procletes levicarina. Its description in RNAcentral is "partial 16S ribosomal RNA". It matches the Rfam family "Bacterial large subunit ribosomal RNA", at positions 1852 to 2588 of the family's 2925-position model. Lineage: Eukaryota; Metazoa; Arthropoda; Malacostraca; Decapoda; Pandalidae. The record is from RNAcentral.
GUCUGGCCUGCCCACUGAGGUAACUUAAAGGGCCGCGGUAAUUUGACCGUGCGAAGGUAGCAUAAUCAGUAGUCUUUUAAUUGGAGGCUGGAAUGAAUGGUCGGACAGAGAGUUAACUGUCUUGUAAUCAAAGAUUUGAAUUUUACUUUUAAGUGAAAAGGCUUAAAUAAAUUAGGGGGACGAUAAGACCCUAUAAAACUUAACAAAAUCUAGCUGUAGUUUUUAAAUUGAAGUAUAAAAUUAAUUAUUGCUUUUUUGUUAUAUUGGGGCGAUAAAGAUAUAAAUAUAAUAACUGUCAAGUUAAUUAAAUAGUAUUAAUUAGUUUAAUUGAUCCUUUAUUAGAGAUUAUAAGAUUAAGUUACUUUAGGGAUAACAGCGUAAUUUUCUUUGAGAGUUCAUAUCGACAAGAGUAGUUGCGACCUCGAUGUUGAAUUAAGAUUUCUUCUGGGUGUAGCAGUUUAGAGGGUAGGUCUGUUCGACCUU